Long non-coding RNA from Rhododendron vialii, 2326 nucleotides. RefSeq lists it as uncharacterized. Lineage: Eukaryota; Viridiplantae; Streptophyta; Magnoliopsida; Ericales; Ericaceae. The transcript has 2 exons. The record is from RefSeq and is a predicted model, not a curated record.
CCCGACGAAGAGGUCAGUCUUUAAUCUUCCAUCCUUCAACCCUAACUGAUCCUUCAACCCUAACUGAUACCCAGCAAUAGAAGCAAACGAUGCAGAGUACAUGAGUCAAACAUUCAUGAGGAUGGAUAAAGAUGGCCUUCCAUUUUCCUGAUUUUCACUUUUUCGCAUUAGGAAAUUGAUUUCUCUCGAUUUUAGAAUAGAAGAAGUUCUUGUUCCGCUCGUGCCAGCAAUUGUAUGUCAUGUUAGAGUUGAUGUAUCUCAUCUUGAACGAGUCCUAAUGCGACCCUUCAAAACAACACCCCAUUGCACUUCUAUCUCAUCCAAUUAUGUAUGAUGGCCAGCCUGAGCAUCUGACCAGAGCUCUCUUUUUCCUAUUUUCUCACACGUUAGUCGAGGUGUGCGCAAGCUGGGCCAAACAUUUGGUUGUCAAAAAGAAACAAUAAAAUUGGAGAAAAUAAAACAGCCCCUAGAUAUAAUUAAGCAGAGCUAUUGAGGCUCUCUCUCUCUCUCUCUCUCUCUCUCUCUCUCUCUCUGUGGAGCAUCUUUAUUCAAAAACUUCUUUUGCUGCUUUUAUGCAUGACAGGGAGACCUUUGGCAGAAUAAAAUUUGGUUCCUUGUGUCUGCUUGUCUUCAGUUACGUGAAUUGCCUUUAAACAAAAGUGAGUGUCUCCUAUCUGUAGUUAGAGCUCUGGUGUAUUUUUUGAAAAAGAUAAAAUCCAUUGUGGUUAAUUUUUUGUGGAAAGGAGGGGUGAAAUCGGGUAUCAUAUGGAAAAGGUGGAAUGUAUGCUGUCAACCCAAAAGCUUAGGGGGUCUUGGAUUAUGCGAUUUAGCUUGUUUCAAUCAAGCUCUUCUUGCAAAAGUAGCUUGGCGAAUUUUGAAGGAACCUGACUCCCUCUUAGCAUCAGUUCUUUUGGGUAAGUAUAGUCAAAUGAGUGACUUCCUUGAUAACCCAAGUGAACUCUUUGGCUCCUUGGGGUUGGAGUAGUGUUUAUGUAAGGAAAAGAUCUUCUGAUCGAGGGCUUAAAGUGGAGAAUCGGUAAUGGGAAUGGAAUCAGAGUUCUCAAAGACCAACGGAUUCCUAAGGUUUGCAAAUCUUUGUUGGGCGUGACUUUAAGCAUGUUUUCUCAGACUUCAAAGUAAAGGGUCUGUUUGAUGGUUCUUCUAAGCAAUGGGGGGCUCCACUAGUAAAGACUCUUUUCCCGGAAGAGAUAGCUCGGCAACUCUUAGCUCUGUACUUGCGUCUUGAAAGUGCUCAGGAUUCUCGGUCAAAACAGCAUAUUUCCAUCAGUUCUAUAUCAAAUUCUUGGAGGAUCUUCAGAGGAGGCAGAAUGCGUUCAGUUCUUGGGGGUAAAGUCUGGGCUCUUGGCUUUCCUCCAAAAUUUAUGCUUUUUAUCUGGAAGGUAGUGCAUGGUAUUCUGGCAGUAAAAGAUGUUUUGAGAAGAAGAUCAAUGGAUAUAGACUUGGAGUGCCCACUGUGCAAGACUGAGGUGGAAACGAUGGAACACCUGUUCUUCAAAUGUGGUUUUUCAAAGCGAUUAUGGAGAGCGUCCCAUCUGGGAUUUGAUUUUGACAGUGGAAGGCCUGUCCCAGUCGAGGAGUGGCUGGAAGGAUGGAUUAGGGAGGCCCCUAUAUAAAAGUGAUGUGGGAUUCAGUAUGCUUAUUGUGGUUCAUCCGUGCAGUCCCGAUGAUAUGGCCUUUCGAGGGGAAUUGGCUAGUUUGGAUGAUGCUAUGGCCAGAUUUGCAGCCUUGCAACUUAAAUUCAAUCCAGAAAAGAAGCGGCAAGCAGAGAUUAGAGAGGUUUGGGUGUCUUAAGGGGAAACAAUUAGGGAGGGAAUCAGAGAUCUCCUAUACCUUCAACUCUGUGGAUGAGGAGGUGGAUUUGACUGGAGCAUGACACUUCGUCACGGAUGGAUGAGGCUUGGGGUGCAGAAUCAAUGCGCGGAGCUGCUGCUUGAGUUACAAAGAAGAGUCAAGGCAUAGACGCUGCUCAGCAAGUGGCGGAGAUGCCUGUUCAGCAACUUUGGUGGAAAUUAGAGCUGGCAUCAUGGCUCUGCAGUGGGCAAAGGAGAAUUAAAAGAGGGUUGAAGGUCUGUAUCUGCACAGAUAGCUUGGAGUUUGUCAAAGGGCUUCUCGAGUGGUCAGCUGCUUCCACUUUGCUUUGCCAUGCUCUUUUGGAUUUUGUUCAAUUAUGUUAUCAGUAUAUGUUGUAAAAGUUAUCAAUUUUCCUAGAACGGAUGUUUGUUGCUGCUGCUCAUGGUAUAGCUAGGGCAGCCUUGAACAAGGUGUAAUGUUUUGAUUUAUCUAUGGAUUUUGCAUGCUUUCAAAA